AACGAACGCUGGCGGCAUGCCUAACACAUGCAAGUCGAACGCUACCUUCGGGUCUAGUCGCGCAUGGGUGCGUUACCGGUGGGGUCCUGCCCUUGGAUUCGGCAUAACUCCCCGAAAGGGGUGCUAAUACGAGAUAAUAUCUUCGAACCAAAGAUUUAUCGCCUUUGGAGGGGCGUGAGUUCGAUUAGCUAGUUAGUAGGGUAAAAGACUACCAAGGCGUCGUUCCCUAGCUGGUCUGGGAGGACGAUCAGCAACACUGGUACUGGGACACGGCCGGGACUAUUAGGGGAGGGAGCAGUGCGGAAUAUUGGACGAUGGGCGAAAGCCUGAUGCUGCAAGGCCGCGUAAGUGAUGUAGGCCUUAGGGUUGUAAAGCUCUUUUACCCGGGAUGAUAAUGACAGUACCGGGAGAAUAAGCGCCGGCUAACUCCGUG
Molecule: ribosomal RNA, 433 nt
Filed under: uncultured bacterium
Lineage: Bacteria
Description: partial 16S ribosomal RNA
Rfam family: Bacterial small subunit ribosomal RNA
Source: RNAcentral